GUUGUCCAGUAAGGGAUUUGUGUAGUGUGUCUCAAGCAUGUAAUAACGUGGUCCAGACUCUGGAUCAAGGGCAUAUCCAGCUUCGGGGGGAUAAUUGAAGCCCUGGAAAAUAAGACUUUGUUUAUUUCUGAUGGCCGAUCAAAGUGAAAUACGAUGUCGGGGGAGAAGACGAAAUGGAGGGGGGCAACGGACGACCGAACGUGCCUUUGGUCUCAAGAACCUGAUGACGUUCGAAUGAGGGUGAGCAGGAGAAGUUGGAAGGCGUGAGGUUGAGUGUAUUGGUGACAAAAGCCACGGGUUGCUCUCACUGGUAUCUCCACCAACGGGAGAGCUCACGUUUCUGACGACAGAGCAAUUGCGGUGGCUUUUGCGGUCGUUGAAGGCUUUCAUUGGUAUGCAUUAAACGAUCCACAGGAUUAUUACCGAGUACGUUAUACCAUCAAAAUCGAUUGGAGAGAGAGUCUAUUUGUUUUUUUAGGUGGCUUUGUUGGUAAUUUACCUCCGAUCCUAGGUUCCACGUGGCUGCUAUUGAAGUACACAGGAGUGAUGGAUGGUCACCCUGAUAGCAGACUGUACCAUUGGUUGCUGCCUCCAAGUCCGAUUCCUU
Long non-coding RNA from Diachasmimorpha longicaudata, 607 nucleotides. RefSeq lists it as uncharacterized. The record is from RefSeq and is a predicted model, not a curated record. The transcript has 3 exons. Lineage: Eukaryota; Metazoa; Arthropoda; Insecta; Hymenoptera; Braconidae.